This 424-nucleotide ribosomal RNA is filed under the name uncultured bacterium. Its description in RNAcentral is "bacterial SSU rRNA". It matches the Rfam family "Bacterial small subunit ribosomal RNA", at positions 355 to 776 of the family's 1533-position model. The record is from RNAcentral. RNAcentral also lists the same sequence under 1 other name.
UGAGGAAUAUUGGUCAAUGGGCGGGAGCCUGAACCAGCCAAGUCGCGUGAAGGAAGAAGGAUCUAUGGUUCGUAAACUUCUUUUGCAGGGGAAUAAAGUGCAGGACGUGUCCUGUUUUGUAUGUACCCUGAGAAUAAGGAUCGGCUAACUCCGUGCCAGCAGCCGCGGUAAUACGGAGGAUCCGAGCGUUAUCCGGAUUUAUUGGGUUUAAAGGGUGCGUAGGUGGUUUGAUAAGUCAGCGGUGAAAGUUUGCAGCUUAACUGUAAAAAUGCCGUUGAAACUGUCGGACUUGAGUGUAAAUGAGGUAGGCGGAAUGCGUGGUGUAGCGGUGAAAUGCAUAGAUAUCACGCAGAACUCCGAUUGCGAAGGCAGCUUACUAAGCUACAACUGACACUGAAGCACGAAAGCGUGGGGAUCAAACAGG